GAUGAAGAACGUAGCGAAAUGCGAUACGUAAUGUGAAUUGCAGAAUUCAGUGAAUCAUCGAGUCUUUGAACGCACAUUGCGCCCCCUGGUAUUCCGGGGGGCAUGCCUGUCCGAGCGUCAUUGCUGCCCUCAAGCACGGCUUGUGUGUUGGGCCUCCGUCCUCCUCCCGGGGGACGGGCCCGAAAGGCAGCGGCGGCACCGCGUCCGGUCCUCGAGCGUAUGGGGCUUCGUCACCCGGUCUUGUAGGCCCGGCCGGCGCUUGCCGACACAUCAAUCUUUUUUCCAGGUUGACCUCGGAUCAGGUAGGGAUACCCGCUGAACUUAAGCAUAUCAAUAAGCGGAGGA
Molecule: unclassified non-coding RNA, 345 nt
Filed under: soil metagenome
Description: partial contains 5.8S ribosomal RNA, internal transcribed spacer 2, and large subunit ribosomal RNA
Rfam family: 5.8S ribosomal RNA (bases 1-120)
Source: RNAcentral